RNAcentral lists this long non-coding RNA (7238 nucleotides) under Homo sapiens (human). RNAcentral describes it as "HSALNT0310676". The record is from RNAcentral. Lineage: Eukaryota; Metazoa; Chordata; Mammalia; Primates; Hominidae.
CAACCUACAGAAUGGGAGAAAAUUUUUGCAAUCUAUCUAUCUGACAAAGGGUAUACUUUUAAUAAAUGACAUUUCCUCCAAAUUUCUUUUCAUGAGUUAAAACUGGAGGUUAAAAAAUCAGUGAAAAAGAAAGGUAACAAUGUCAAAAUAACAUAGUAAGAAACACAUCCUCAGCUGAACAAACUGUAACGAAUCGGCUUUCUUUUUUGAUGUCAGGGGCAAAGUUCACCCAAGACUGGAAUUCCUGUUGAUGCCUAAUAAAAGGUUGCAGAAUUCUUAGGCCUGGAAAACUCAGUGUUGAACUGAAGCAGAUUUCUUAGUUGCAGAGCUUCUCAGAGUCUUUACUAAUUUCUAAUAGAAGCCUAUAAAACACAUUUCCCAGAUUUGAUAAUAGCAGACCCAUCAGUAGGGACUAAUGUUUUCCCAACACAUUUUCAGAAAUGUUAUUCAAGAGGUCUCAGCAAUUCUCCUUUAUGAGCCUCAGGAUAUCUUAAUAGGCCUCAUUAGAUUGUCGCUAUUAUUGUGUGUGAAACACUUUACACAUAUUAUUUUUAAUUCAUAACUCUCAUGUAUGCAGGCAUUAUUAGUGCCUGUUAUAAUUAAGGAAAGAAAUUCGGAGAGGUUAAUGGAUCCAUCCAAAGCCACACAGCUAGUAAAUGAGCUGUGUUUUAAACAUAGAUCUGCCUCAGUCUACUGCUUUUUUUUCCCCUCCUGUAUAAAUACAAUUUCUUUCUUCAUAAAUAUUGUUGAAUUCCAUAGGUGCUCACUCUGUAUUUGCAGAAGAAGAUGGUAUUCUUCUAUCUUUUAGAAUUAAUUACAGUAAAGAAUACACUUUUGAUAAAUUUAAUGCUUAAUUUAAAUAGCUAUUGUAGAAGGCCGACUGUUAAAAAAAAACCAACAAAGGAAUGAAAUCAUUCCACAUGAAGCAGGAUGUAACCAAAUUGUGUUGCUGAGUAAGACUUGAAAAUAAUUUUCAAGGCCGCAUUAAUGCAUCAUCUACUGGCUUUCCCCUGGCUUCUGCUGUUACUUUGCCAGAUUCAGAUUUGAUUUAAUAAGCAACAGCUUAAGAAUAACCAUUUAUGAGCUAUCCUUGCAAUGCUCAGAAACAUGUUCAACUUGAAAGCAUCUUGGAGACUUUGUUGAACCAGAAGGACCAUAUCCUGCGCAUUUCUUAUUUUGCCCUGAAAUAAAACCUCUACUUUUCUUGUCCUUGCACUCUUACUUGUAAAACCUGGCCUAUAAGCUUAAAUAUGUUUUCCUGCAGGAACAAUCCUUGCUACUUUACCUUUGCUUCAACCACACUAAAUGGUUGACAAAGCACAACUGCCAACUUUAAUGGGCUUUGCCUCCCCAGCCACUCCUCUCUUUACGACAAGGGUCGUCAUAUUCCAAAUGGAUGGUUUCUAAAGAGAACCACUCUAUCAGCUUACUUUUCUAACUCUAGUGCUAUCAAGUUAAAAAAAAAAAUAGUCUCCUUUUCUUUUUUUCCAACUGCAGUGUGAUUUUUUCCUUUUAUUUUAUGAUUUCAGAAUGCCUGAUUAUUAUAAACUGUUCAAGUUUUCUAUCUUACAUCACAAGAAGUCCUCUGACUUAAAUUGUAACUCUUUAUCUUGAUUCUGUUUCCACCAUAAGUGUGGAAUUCUGAGGCUGUUAGAUUAUACUUUUUGAGGCCAGUUUCCUAUUUCUAAGACCGUUCAGGGUCUAAGAGAACAGAUUGAGAAAUUCAUCGAAGAUUAUGGGGUGUUCAAUCAAAGUACCUCUUCUUUGAAGUUUCUUUCAUAUUUACUACAAUGCCUUUUCUUUUUCUAAUUUUGUUUUAUUGUGGUAAGAUAAUCUUCUUAAUAAAGUUUUAAGUGUAUAAUAUAUUAUUGCUGACUGUAGGUUGAAUGCAGUACAGCAGAUAUCUAGAGCUUAUUUAUUUUGCUUAAUUAAAACUUCAUACCCAUUGAUUAGUCACAUGGAACAAUAUUCUGUGAUAGGAGGUGGGAAAGGUUGGAGAAAAGGGAGAUAGUGACCUGGGAAUGUAAGUAGAAUGGCCAGAUAAAAUACAGAAUGCACAGUUAACUUUGAAAUUCAGAUAACAAUGAAAUUUUUUCUUCUAUAAGUAUGUCCCAUGCAAUAUUUGAAACAUACUUAUACUAAAAAUUUCUUCAUUGUUUAUGUAAACUUCAAAGUUAAUUGUUGUCCUGUAUUUGUAUUUGCUAAAUCUGCAGCCCUACAUAUGGGAGAAGUCUUGGUACAGAGGGCAGGAGGUGGUCAUGAGUGAGAAAAACUGCGUGUGGAGCUGGGUACAUCUGGAAGGAGUUGGAACAGGAAGACUCUAGAGGCCAGAAUGACUAUGGGGUGAGCAUAAAAAGGGAGGAAAGAAAACCUGCUUCUUAGUUUCUACAGUUACACUUCAUGAGAAUAUUUAGGAAAUAAAAUGAAAAUAACAAUCAUUUUUAUAAACAAAUAGACAAAACAUCAAAUGUUAAUGUUUUAUCACAUUCCCAUAUAAAACACCAAAUGUGGGCUUUUAUAAAUUCUGAAUUCAAACUGGUUAGUUUUAUUUUUACAAAUCAUUUCUCAUUUUAUCUGAAAUAGUAACAUCAGAACUGUGUUUUGUAAAGUUUAUUUUUUUAGUAAAAUUGCAUGUCUUUGGAAAAUAGUUUAUGUUCUAGGAUUUGUUUCAAGAUAAUUUAUAGGGUUUGCCCUGUAUAUUUCUUCCCCACACCUGUAUUCUAAGCACAUAGCUGACACUUUUGCAGAUAGACCUCUGAGAUGAAUCCUCAGUUUCCGCCUGGCUAGGAAAAGCCUAAAAAGAUAAAUGCUAAGAUUGCUUAUGAGGACUAGAGACAGAGGAAGUGACUAUCAGAGCAACAGGGAUGAAGAAGAAAAAUAUUUCCCAGGAAAGAAAAAGAGAUGGAGGAGGAGAAUGGUAGGGUGAGGACUGGCAUAUUUCCUUGUGGUAGUACUCUGCCUGCAGACUGGUGAGUGUAUGAUUUCCUUGAGAUAUGGCUUGGGGAGGUUUAUCCCCAGGGUGGACAUAGAGAUCCCCAGCCUUCCAAAGUACAUCAAACAGCUCAAGUAGAAAUGGAGCACAGGUAGACCUGAAGGCAGCCUGAGCACUAGGCCUGCUGUGCCUCAGUAGUAACCAUGACAGACUGAUAGCUGAUGACCCAGGGGCUUCCUCAUUUCCAGAUAUUACCUAAGACCUGGGAACCUUUGCAUAACACUGGGUGGAGGGCGUGGUCCACAUACCUCUGAUUAAGUUUCCCACCAGCACAGCAGAUAUCUAGAGCUUAUUUAGAUAAGGUGAGAUGAAUCAGAAUUAAGUUGAUUUGAGAAAAAGAAAGUGAAAUUUCUUGCACACAUGUGGCCUAAGAUUUAUGCCCAUGCUUCAUAUUUGCUUAAUUUGAAUUCCACAUUUACCAAUUACUAGGAGGAAACCUUUUUUUUCCUGAUAAUUAUGCCUAAGGUAUCAUGAUAUGAAAUACUAAUUUUAUAAAUUUUUUCUAAGAUACUGUAGGUAAUAGAGAAAUUCCCAAAUUGCUUGAUUUUGAUUCAGGUAGGCCAGGCUGUAACUAAUUGUGUUCUUUCUAAGAUUUGAGAAUAAUUGAAUCUGUUUUUGCUUUUUGCCAAGUCCUCGAGAGUAGUGCUCAAUAUAAUAAUAUUUUCCUAGCAUUACUUCAGCAGUCAAACAAGAAUAUAAUCCAAAAAGUCCCCUGUAUUCACAAUGACAAUGCUCUUAUGAUGAAACCACAGAAAGAAGUUGUAAUUAAUGCAAGGAAUAAUGUGAACAAUCUAUUAACAUAAUCUGAAUGAAAUCCUUGCACAGUUAAAUGCAGACACUAAGUGCUCAUAUAAUACUUUAUUAAUUAACAAAGUAUUUAUCCACAGGGAAAUGAGGAUAAGAGACCACACACUUUGUCAGACUACAGGAAAAUGUAUUAGUGCUUCAUAAGAAAUGCAUACAAUUCAAACAAUAGCAUGAUUAUCUUUUUAAAGCAAUUACAUUUAAUCUCAGAAGAAAGAAUAAAUACAUUAAUUCUUCCAUGUUCCCUGAUAAGCCACCAAGAUACAUAAGCGAUCAUUUUCUUUUCCUACAGCUCUGGAGGCUGGUGACAAUUCAGCGUGUGCUGCUUAGACAACUUUUAUAGUGAAAUACCACUUAGCACACAAAAACACAUUAUGAGAUUAACUGACUUUUGGCUGAAUAGAGUUCUCUUCCCUGGGAAGCUGUGGUUUGUACUUAACUUUGCACAUUCCUUUCAGCUUUGGAGACUUGAAUGAUGAGAAGGUGGAUGCUUUAGUCUGGUUAGUAUUGUUAAAACAGAAUACCGGAGGCUGGGUAAUUUAUGAAGAAAAUAGUUUUAUUUAACUCAUGGCUCUGCAUGCUGGGAAGUUCAAGAGCAUGGUGCUGAUUUCUAGAGAGGCUUUCAUGCUGCAUCAUAGCAUGACAGAAGGUCAACAGGGGAGUGGAUGUGAAGAAGGGGCCAAAUAGGUAAAGGAAACUUGCUUUAAAACAAAUUACUCUUGUGGGAACUAGUCCAUAUCUGUGACAGCAAGAGCUCACUUUUCAAGAAGACCUUAACCUAUUCAUAGGGAUACACCCCCGUGACUCAAACACCUCUGACUAGGCCCCACCUUCAAUACUGCUACACUGGCAAUAAAACUUCAAUAUGAAUUUUGACAGGAACAAACCACAUCCAAACCAUAGCAGUGGAUUGCCUAUAAUAAUGGUGUUUGGUGUUGAAUUCCAAGUCUGUUUUUUCUUGUUGUUGUUGUUUUUUAUCUUGAUGUGCUGGGCUAAACCAAGUACCAUCACCAAAAAUGUCUUCUACCUUUAAAGCUCCAAAUGGAAGUCAAAGUAGUUAGCACCAUGAUUUCUUUCUUUUGGCCUCACUCAGCGAUUCUUGACCUUCCAGACCUGGGAGCUGAUAAGCAGAAGGUCCACCCUGCAUCAUAUUAGCAGAUUGUGACAUUAUAUGAUGAUCUACUUACAGGCCUUGUGGCCAACAACUAAUAAGACAGAGUUUUGGCCAACAUGGCUCUUAUUUAUCACCUCCUAAGCCAUAACCUGAUUAUCAUAGCUCCAGUUUCCAGCCCCAUACCAGUCUCUUGUCAAUCAGUAUCAGAAGGCCUGCUCUAACUUCUCUUAUGGUUGCUUCAUAGCUGUCUCCAAUCGCUACUGGCUUCUCAGAAAUAUCCCUUUCCAGUUUAACCCAGGGACCGAGACCCAGAGUACUACGUGCCCUCAGAUGUCAUAACUCCUCACUGGGUUUGCAGCAGAUAGAUGAGAGCUGGUGUAAGACUACAAUGAUGAAGAAACUGAAGCAGAGAAAUAAGGAAUUUGUCCAAAUCUCACAGCAAUGUUAGCACAGUUCAGAGGACCAAGAAGCUGAGGGAUAGUGCAAUGUGAGGCAGUACCCUUAAUGGUAAGAGAAAGGGGAGGGUUGGAAUAUUGCAUUAAAAAAGAGAACUGAGACAUUUUCAAUGAAGAGUUGCUAUGUUUGUCCGAGGUCUCACCAUGUCCGCAUAUAAAUAGAUAUGAAGCAGCUCUGGCUUUCAGAGAGCAGCCCAAGUGUGCCUGUGGUCUCUCAGCUCAUCCAUACGUGACACUUCAAAAAAAGAGAUGGAGAGUGGAAGUGACUGGAAAGAACCCUUUGGGUUAUACUGAUCAUUGCCAUGUGCUCCACAAAACUCCACUAUCUGAAAGGUAGUGGUCAGGAAUUCAAAGAAAAUCCUAUAGAGAGUGUGAUACAGAAGGUUUUGCAUAAAUUAAAUAUAACACAACCAUUCCCAGACCUCAGAGAUCACAUUGUUUUUCUCUCCAAUCUCCAGUUAGAUUAUUUAUUUGAAAUGGUAUCAAAUAUGCCUGUCCCCAGGCUAGGAGUAAAAUAGCAAUUUUGAUGCUGAACAUAAGGAGAAGAGAACAAAAAGAUUAAAGCAAUCAAAACAAAAUGUGGCAUGUUUUGAAAAAGGCUAAAAACAUGGCAAAGAGAAUACCAUUCUUUGCUGAUACGCAAAGAGCCAAAAUUUAAAUAAAUAAAUGUUAAGGCCAUGUUCAAGAUAAGCACAGUUGUUGGGUAUAGAAAAAUGGAUAAUAUAGCAGAGAAAGACAUGAUCAAAACCAAUGGUUUAAAACCAUUUUUAAAACAGCAGAAUGCUUUUAUUCCAGUGUAAUUGUACAUGAAAUUCAAUUGAUAAAGCAGAUAAAAAUGCAGCUGCUCCAGUAGAAUAAGGGGAGACCAAAGGCACUGUACCUCUGCCUCUCUUUUUUCUCCUGCAGCUGCUCCUGUAGCCCUGCCAAGGAAUUCUUACACUCUGCAAAAUGGAAUUUGAAAAGCAAAUGUUGUAAUGCCACAACUUCUAUCCAUUGCAUAGUUUUAUAGGUGUUAAAUAUUAUUAACUCCUUUUAAACUGGUAGGCAUACACUAAUAAAGUUGUAGGCCGUUCUCCUUUCUUGUGUUCAUAAUUCUACAUCUUAAAAAUAGAGUUGAAAGAUGUAGCAGCUGACAAAAGUAUAAAAAUUGUGCCAGCCCAUCUCACACUUUCUGGUGGCCCUGCUGAUACUGGCAGGAGAGAACUGUAUGUGGAUGAUGUGCAGUAUUCACAUCAGUAAUAAAAUUCUUGCCUGCCCCUUAUGGUCUGAUUUAUUUGAACUUCUUAUUGUCUCUCACAUCCUUGACCCAGGGACUGUUGGUAAUUUGCAUUGUUUCUACUGAGUAAGUCGGAUGUGUUUAAUAUUUAUCUUCAGAAGUUCAGAGACCUUAGGUGAACUUUGUAUCUAGUUAACUGGAAUGAUUAAUUCAUACAUCCAAAAGCUAAAGGGUUCUUUCUGUGAAUUGUCAGCAUCCAUUCUUCGAAAUGCAGCAGGACGGUUUAAUGGCUUAAAUGCACUGGUGUUGAAGGUUUGAGGAGGGCUCAGUGCUUCUUGGUUCCAUGUGGAACUGAAGGCACAGAAGCAAAAAGGACUAUUUAGCCCCUGCUUAAGCCAUAACCAGGAUAUAGAAGUCCUUGGCCCUGUAAUUUAAAUCAUCAGUCGCCAGUGAAGAAGAGAAGGUGGGUUUAUGUCACUUCUGAGUGGAUAAUCUGAGGAAUGAGAAGGCAACCUAUAAUACACUUGCUGUUGAAAGAGAAACAGCAGUCAGAGCAGGGCUGGGAGACAUACGGACAUUCAAAUUCUCAAGGCUUCCCUGCUUCCAGCUUGCUUUCUCAUCUGUAAAAUGGAACAAGAAUAGCUGCAAGACUGGGUG